AACGUAGGACGCAAGCGUUAUCCGGAAUUACUGGGCGUAAAGCGCGUGUAGGUGGUUAGAUAAGUCACUGUUGAAAGCUCCCGGCUAAACUGGGAGAGGUGCGGUGAGACUGUCUGGCUAGAGUAUGGGAGAGGGAUGCGGAAUUCCGGGUGUAGUGGUGAAAUGCGUAGAGAUCCGGAGGAACACCAGAGGCGAAGGCGGCAUCCUGGCCUAACACUGACACUGAGACGCGAAAGCAUGGGGAGCGAACGGG
This 253-nucleotide ribosomal RNA is filed under the name uncultured bacterium. RNAcentral describes it as "partial 16S ribosomal RNA". It matches the Rfam family "Bacterial small subunit ribosomal RNA", at positions 524 to 776 of the family's 1533-position model. The record is from RNAcentral.